Molecule: ribosomal RNA, 253 nt
Filed under: uncultured bacterium
Lineage: Bacteria
Description: partial 16S ribosomal RNA
Rfam family: Bacterial small subunit ribosomal RNA
Source: RNAcentral
UACAGAGGGUGCAAGCGUUACUCGGAAUUACUGGGCGUAAAGCGUGCGUAGACGGUUAUGUAAGUCGGGUGUGAAAGCCCCGGGCUCAACCUGGGAAUUGCAUUCGAGACUGUGUAGCUAGGGUACGGAAGAGGGAAGCGGAAUUUCCGGUGUAGCGGUGAAAUGCGUAGAUAUCGGAAGGAACAUCAGUGGCGAAAGCGGCUUCCUGGUCCAGCACCGACGUUCAGGCACGAAAGCGUGGGGAGCAAACAGG